AUGAAUAAUUAUUUCUGGAAUUCUUUAAUUAGUGGGCCUGGAGUUACCAUCUUUGUUCUUUGCUUAUAUCUAAUACAAGUACAGACUGGUUCUGACAGUCUUUGGGAGGGAGUGCUGGAGGAUUUGAACCAAAUCGAAAAGACAGAGAUGGAUGUCUUUUUAUACACUGCAGAUGCAAAAUUUCCGGCUAAUUGUAGUGUACGUGUAAAGAAAUGUUUUGUUGAGGAGAUGAAAGUAAUUGUAUAUGAGUCUCAGCUUGAAAACAAUAACAAGGUUCGUGGCACCAUGAGUAGAAUUAUCAGAAUUGUCAUGGAGGAUUUAGAAGGCAGGCAGGUAAGUGAAACACUAUGCAAACUACAUGUUAUGCUUGUAUUGUAUGCAGAAAAUUUGCAAAAGCCACAAUUCCUCUUGCAAGGUUGUCACACCUUUCUGAUACCGAUGUCACAACUCACAUUGUCUUUUCACUUGACUACUGAGGUGGUGGUCUCUUUAAAUCACCACAGAAAUAAAUAUGUUUUCUUUAAUAAUCUUCACAUUUCCUCUCUUCCUUCUUUGCUGCCACCAACCUUUAGCUGCCUCUAUUGGUGUGUAUUUGCCCUUAUAACACCUUCCAUAUACCUGUCUAUACUUCAGCUACUAAGUGGCUGAACUGAGCACCACUUAGUUUGAAUAGAACAAAUAAGGCUUUAUUAAUAAGUGUUAAAAGAGGGUUGUUUAUUCAUAAAUUUUACAUUCAUUCAGUGCAAUCUUUCACUCUUUCCAUUACCUCUUCCCCACCUCAUUUUCUCUCAGACUGCUCUCCCUCACUUCUCUCCACACCAGACUGCUCAAAAACCUCACCAGUACUCCGCCCCCCUACUUUCUCACAGCCAAUUAGAGCCACUCUUACUGACAUUCCAUGUUCCUCACUCACCCCCUCCCUUGCAUACUUGCCAAACCAUAUAAACAAUACAUUUAACUAUAAUUUGUCAUCACAAUAUUCCUCAACAGGAGGUAUCUUUUACCAGCAAAUAUAGAAAUGGAACAGAGAACUGAACAGAGUAUGCACUUAUUUACAGAGCUUCUCUGAUGUAUUCGUUUUUCUGAUUGACCAUGGCAUGUUCUCAUGUAUUCUUCAAUUGUGUGCUUUUUCAGCAAGUAUGUUGACAUUUCAUGCAAACAGAACAUGCCACAGGUCUCAUUAAUGUGCAGAUUUUUGAGGCAAGGUGUGUUUUGUCUUGCAGUAAGUCUUGGGAAAUGAGCAAUUAGAAAUUUUGGUGAGAAUUUUGAAACCAUCCCAAAAAGUCCCCAUCCCUAGAACUGCCUACUUUUGCUUGUAGCUUUUCUUUGAACGUUUCUUCCAAACUGCUUUGAUUUCCACAAGUUAUCAGACUCUUAUCUGCAAAUAUGUGACCAUAAUUUUGACUUCUUGAGUGGGAGGGUUUUAGUCAUUAACACAUAACUGUCCUUUGAGCUAUAUAUACUGUAUGUUUAUAAAUUUUUGUUUGCACUGUGUGAGUGUUGUAGCAUCCACCACCAGCCUCUAAGGCUUAGUUAAGUGACAUAAUCGUAGCCAGCAGCAGCACAGAUGAAUCCAUAUGUCUUGGCCAUUUUCAUACUUAAGGCCAAGGAUAUAUAACCUCUGAACAACCUCCAGUGAGACAGUUCAGGUGCUGCAUAAAUCCUUUUGAGAGAUUUGUUAUGUCCCAUCAAGUUGCAUCCAACUUAUGUGAAAUAUUUAAUUUUACCAUUAACACUACUCCAAGAGUAUGCACUUAUUCCAUGACUCCUCCUAGUGGGAUUCUUUUACUUAGUUUGUACUUCAAAUCAGGUCUGCUGAGUCCUGGUCCAACAGUCUCUUGAGAGAUUUGCAUGUAUAGUUUUGGAAUAUUGCACAAGGAUAUGAGGAAUAUUGCACAAAGAUAUGAGGAAAUACCUCAAGAUUUUGCAUACAUUCAUGUAGAAUGUGUGCCAUAAGGCACCCCUUUUGAGAUGCCCAAAAGAAUACUCAUACCAACCUAAUAUUUUGUUGGGAGAACUCUGAGACGUGAAGAGAUUCUAAAGUGAGGAAACAGAGAAUGCUGAAAAGUAGAUAUAGAGAUGCUAGCGGCUGGUUUAGCAUACAACAAUAAUAAAUAAACUUGCUACCUUUUUCA
RNAcentral lists this long non-coding RNA (2135 nucleotides) under Pogona vitticeps (central bearded dragon). RNAcentral's name for it is "lncRNA (ENSPVIG00000021474.1)". Lineage: Eukaryota; Metazoa; Chordata; Lepidosauria; Squamata; Agamidae. The record is from RNAcentral.